UGAGGGAAGGGCCGGAGCGGGAGAGCAGCUCAGGCCUGGAGAAUGGCUCAGGCUGUGCCUAGCGGCCACCAAGGCCAGCAGGAGGGGAUAAAGGAAACAGGGAGCCCAGCCUCUCCGAGACUCGCGUUCCUGCGACAUCUUUUCUCCGUACUCCGCGUCCGCAGUCCGCCAGAUCUCUCUGCAGAGUCCCGCACCGGGAGUCCUCUGCAGUGUCUCCCAUUCAGAGGACUCCUGUACUCCUUUCUGCAGCCCUGAUGCGGAGGGGUACAGAGAGCAGUUCUGGGCGGCUGCCCUUCUCCCCACGCACCCCUCCAGGAAGGGGCGGUCGUCAGAGCUUGCAGACAUGUUCCCCAGGAACCCUCAGGCUCGUGACCAUGAACCGCUGGCGCCCAGGCUCUGCCUCCUUUACCCACAUGGACUCGAUUCUGCUCUGCCUCCUCACUGGGCUGGGAGGUGACGGUCUCCCUGCCCCCUCCAGCAGAACAGCAAUGCUUCCGGUCCACACCUAGUGAUGGGUUCUAAGAGUGAGGUUUGAUCUUGGAAGGAGAGGCCUCCUCAAGGCUCACAACAUCCAGAGGGCCUGGUAUGGAGCUGCGGCCCCGAGCCAACCAACAUCAUGGUGACUCACGCUGCCCGUGGGUCUUACGCCUGUAGCUAUUGACUCUCUAGACCUUGUAGGUGAGGUCUAGGCGAGGCAGUGCCACAACGUUCCUCACACCACACCUUGAGCCUCUGUCCAUCCUGUUUCUAGCAGUCACCUCCCUGCCAGUCCUAUCCUGCUCUGGGUUUCUGUGGUAAACAGUUAUGGAAUGGCUCCCCACGUGUCUGAGCUUUCAUUUUCUUAUAGCAGUCAUCAAGUGGGCUCUGUCACGUCUCCUAGGACCCCUGAUGAUACUUUUGUCCACUGUAAGACUCUCGGACACUUGUGAUUAUAAUGGCAAUCAUUUUGCUAAAGGUUUGGUUGUGUUAAGCUGUGUGUAUGACAUCACUCACACACUCACACGCACACGCACAUACACACACACAUACCUACCUACCCUGUGGGAUCACAUGGAAACCCCUUUCCCUUCUGACACCUGCUCUGGCUCCCAGGCUUUAAGCUGGGCUGUGGCAGGCUCAAUGGAGAACAUAAGCAGAAGCUUCCACGGGUCCUGGCCAAGGAUUGGAUUCUCAGCCCUCCUCAGGUCACUGGGGUUCCUUCCUUCCAAUUAAUCCUCAGCUGGCCCCUCGGCCACUCUCUCUAAGAGAGAGGGCACGCAAGCCUGAAGCUUCCCCUCUAAAGGCCGUUUCCAACCUCUGUGCCUCCUAAGAGCCAGGACCCAAGCGGCUGUCACCAGGGUGCCUCACCAUGACCCCCUUCUGGGGACUCUGGGGCAGAUGACAGCUCACAGAAAAGACCUAGAGCCACGAGAUGGCCUGCGCCUUCAAAGCUUUGUUCCUAAGGGUCUGGCGUGUCUGUGGAGUGCCUCUCCUGCCCACGUGGUCCUGUGCCUCUUAGCCUCCCGCAGUGACAAGAAAAGCUGUGUCCAUUGGAAUGGAAAUGAGACUCGCUUCAGGGCACUCCAGUGGUCAGUGCUACUCUUGGGACUCAGUCCCUGGCUUGGGAAGGCCUGGAGGGAUUCGAGAACCAUGUGUGAACUGAAUUCUGGGUGUGGGUGUAGGGGUAGGAUUGGGACCCUAGAUUAUCCAGGGAGGUGCUCUGGGUGCUGCCCAUGCCUCUGAGAGGAGGACAAUGUAGUCACGUAUUAGUUAAACCAUCUAUGCUCCCCAUGCAAUCCCUGGGAGCCUGAAUAAUUGACAGUGUGGUCAGCAGCUGACCACUGAUUUCCAAGGGUGGUGUGAAUCAAUCCGGUCAACAUUUACUUCCCAGUCCCAGGAGGUCCAGAGGUCAAGGGUAAGAAGCAGUGAUCCCUCUUAGGUCUUAAUCACACAGUGACCCCUGAGAGUCAGAGGGGUGGUUCAUUUCUGCUAUGCCCAAGAAUAUCUGCAGGUUUUUUUGUUUGUUUUUUAAGUAGGAUCUCAUGUAGCCUAAGCUGGCCUCUAAUUCACUAUGCAGUCAAUAAAUGGUUUUGAACCUUUGA
Long non-coding RNA from Mesocricetus auratus (golden hamster), 2081 nucleotides. RefSeq lists it as uncharacterized. The transcript has 3 exons. The record is from RefSeq and is a predicted model, not a curated record. NCBI's taxonomy places the organism in Eukaryota, Metazoa, Chordata, Mammalia, Rodentia, Cricetidae.